AGAGGUCCCGCCUGCCCAGUGACACCCAGUUCAACGGCCGCGGUAUUUUGACCGUGCAAAGGUAGCGUAAUCACUUGUCUUUUAAAUGAAGACCUGUAUGAAUGGCAUAACGAGGGCUUAGCUGUCUCCUCUCUCCAGUCAAUGAAGUUGAUUUCCCCGUGCAGAAGCGGGGAUAAUUACAUAAGACGAGAAGACCCUAUGGAGCUUGAGACGGUAGGGCAGCCCAUGUUAAACACCCCUCUAUACCGGGCUAAACUAAAUGGCCCCUGCCUUAAUGUCUUCGGUUGGGGCGACCCUGGGGAAUACAAAACCCCCACGUGGAACAGGAGCACCCCCCCCCCACCAACUCCUCCAAACUAGAGCCACACCUCAAAUUAACAAAACUUUUGACCAAAAUGAUCCGGCAAUGCCGAUCAACGGACCAAGUUACCCUAGGGAUAACAGCGCAAUCCCCUUUUAGAGCCCAUAUCGACAAGGGGGUUUACGACCUCGAUGUUGGAUCAGGACAUCCUAAUGGUGCAGCCGCUCUUAAGGGUUCGUUUGUUCACCGAUUAAAGUCCUAAGU
This 565-nucleotide ribosomal RNA is filed under the name Lepidorhombus whiffiagonis ssp. Atlantic. RNAcentral's name for it is "partial 16S ribosomal RNA". It matches the Rfam family "Bacterial large subunit ribosomal RNA", at positions 1848 to 2601 of the family's 2925-position model. Lineage: Eukaryota; Metazoa; Chordata; Actinopteri; Pleuronectiformes; Scophthalmidae. The record is from RNAcentral.